AAGAUUAGCUCAGCGGCAGAGCGUUCGGCUGUUAACCGAAUGGUCAUGGGUUCAAAUCCCAUAUCUUC
RNAcentral lists this transfer RNA (68 nucleotides) under uncultured Eubacterium sp. It matches the Rfam family "tRNA". Rfam says of the family: Transfer RNA (tRNA) molecules are approximately 80 nucleotides in length. Their secondary structure includes four short double-helical elements and three loops (D, anti-codon, and T loops). Lineage: Bacteria; Bacillati; Bacillota; Clostridia; Eubacteriales; Eubacteriaceae. The record is from RNAcentral.